CGAGGAAAAGAAACCAACAGGGAUUGCCCCAGUAAUGGCGAAUGAAGCGGCAAGAGCCCAAAUUUGAAAUCGGGCAACCGAGUUGUAAUUUGGAGACGGGACACUAGAGAGGAGGAAGGCGAUUAAGUGCCUUGGAACAGGCUGCCGUAGAGGGUGAGAGCCCCGUGAAUCGCUGGAGACCGAUCAAUUAGUGCCCGCCGAAGAGUCGAGUUGUUUGGGAAUGCAGCUCUAAGUGGGUGGUAUAUUCCAUCUAAGGCUAAAUAUUAGCGAGAGACCGAUAGCAAACAAGUACAGUGAUGGAAAGAUGAAAAGAACUUUGGAAAGAGAGUGAAAUAGUACGUGAAAUUGUUGAAAGGGAAGGGUAUUUGAUCCGACAUGGUGUUUAGCAGCGGCCCGUUCCUCGUGGAUGGGUGCACCUGGUUUACACUGGGCCAGCAUCGGUUCUGGGAGCCAUAUACGGGGUUCGUGAAUGUGGCCCUUCGAUUCUGUCGGAGGGUGUUAUAGCGCGGACAUCUUGUGGCUAGCCGGGACCGGGGACUGCGGUGACUUGUCACCAAGGAUGCUGGCAGAACGAGCAAAUACCACCCGUCUU
Molecule: ribosomal RNA, 592 nt
Filed under: Brettanomyces bruxellensis
Lineage: Eukaryota; Fungi; Ascomycota; Pichiomycetes; Pichiales; Pichiaceae
Description: partial large subunit ribosomal RNA
Rfam family: Eukaryotic large subunit ribosomal RNA
Source: RNAcentral